Molecule: ribosomal RNA, 353 nt
Filed under: Clostridioides difficile
Lineage: Bacteria; Bacillati; Bacillota; Clostridia; Peptostreptococcales; Peptostreptococcaceae
Description: bacterial LSU rRNA
Rfam family: Bacterial large subunit ribosomal RNA
Source: RNAcentral
CCUGGGGAUAACAGGCUUAUCUCCCCCAAGAGUCCACAUCGACGGGGAGGUUUGGCACCUCGAUGUCGGCGCAUCACAUCCUGGGGCUGUAGUAGGUCCCAAGGGUUGGGCUGUUCGCCCAUUAAAGUGGUACGCGAGCUGGGUUCAGAACGUCGUGAGACAGUUCGGUCCCUAUCCGUCGCAGGCGUAGGAAAUUUGAGAAGACCUGUCCUUAGUACGAGAGGACCGGGAUGGACGUACCUCUGGUGUACCAGUUGUCCUGCCAAGGGCAUGGCUGGGUAGCUAUGUACGGAAUGGAUAAGCGCUGAAAGCAUCUAAGCGCGAAGCCAACUUCAAGAUAAGAUUUCCCACCG